This 68-nucleotide transfer RNA is filed under the name Branchiostoma floridae (Florida lancelet). Its description in RNAcentral is "tRNA-Gly". Lineage: Eukaryota; Metazoa; Chordata; Leptocardii; Amphioxiformes; Branchiostomatidae. The record is from RNAcentral.
AUUCACUUAGUAUAAAGCUAUUAUUUUAGACUUCCAAUCUGAGGGUCCACUAAUAGGUGGAGUGAAUA